UGAACGCUGGCGGCAGGCCUAACACAUGCAAGUCGAGCGGAUGAAGGGAGCUUGCUCCUGGAUUCAGCGGCGGACGGGUGAGUAAUGCCUAGGAAUCUGCCUGGUAGUGGGGGAUAACGUCCGGAAACGGGCGCUAAUACCGCAUACGUCCUGAGGGAGAAAGUGGGGGAUCUUCGGACCUCACGCUAUCAGAUGAGCCUAGGUCGGAUUAGCUAGUUGGUGGGGUAAAGGCCUACCAAGGCGACGAUCCGUAACUGGUCUGAGAGGAUGAUCAGUCACACUGGAACUGAGACACGGUCCAGACUCCCACGGGAGGCAGCAGUGGGGAAUAUUGGACAAUGGGCGAAAGCCUGAUCCAGCCAUGCCGCGUGUGUGAAGAAGGUCUUCGGAUUGUAAAGCACUUUAAGUUGGGAGGAAGGGCAGUAAGUUAAUACCUUGCUGUUUUGACGUUACCAACAGAAUAAGCACCGGCUAACUUCGUG
This 482-nucleotide ribosomal RNA is filed under the name uncultured bacterium. Its description in RNAcentral is "partial 16S ribosomal RNA". It matches the Rfam family "Bacterial small subunit ribosomal RNA", at positions 30 to 507 of the family's 1533-position model. The record is from RNAcentral.